This 253-nucleotide ribosomal RNA is filed under the name uncultured bacterium. RNAcentral describes it as "partial 16S ribosomal RNA". It matches the Rfam family "Bacterial small subunit ribosomal RNA", at positions 524 to 776 of the family's 1533-position model. The record is from RNAcentral.
UACGUAGGGGGCUAGCGUUGUCCGGAAUCAUUGGGCGUAAAGCGCGUGUAGGCGGUCCGGUAAGUCCGCUGUGAAAGUCGGGGGCUCAACCCUCGAAUGCCGGUGGAUACUGUCGGGCUAGAGUGCGGAAGAGGCGAGUGGAAUUCCUGGUGUAGCGGUGAAAUACGUAGAGAUUGGGAAGAACACCAGUGGCGAAGGCGACUAUCUGGACGGUUUCUGACACUAAGACUCGAAAGCGUGGGGAGCAAACAGG